This 338-nucleotide long non-coding RNA is filed under the name Brassica napus (rape). RNAcentral describes it as "long non-coding RNA (BNAP_LNC019339)". The record is from RNAcentral. Lineage: Eukaryota; Viridiplantae; Streptophyta; Magnoliopsida; Brassicales; Brassicaceae.
CGUUUAUUCAACCCACAGCGUCUGCGUUUCCUCCUUCUCUACCUACCUUCCCCGCUUACUACCCGGAAGACUAUUCAACGUUCAUGACCCAACCGUUUACUUACGGGUCGGAUCUUCACCAAACCGGGUCAUUAACCGGGCUCAACCACCUCUUUUCCAGCCAAGCUCAUCCUCUUCCUCCCAUGCACCAUCAGAGCCACAACAACACCUUCUCGAACCUUCUCAGCCCUAAGCCGUUACUGAUGAAGCAGACCGGUGCCACCGGAUCUUGUUUCGCCUACGGUGCUCCGGCCAAGCCGACGAAGCUGUACAGAGGCGUGAGGCAGCGUCACUGGGGG